UACGUAGGGGGCAAGCGUUGUCCGGAUUCAUUGGGCGUAAAGCGCUCGCAGGCGGCCAACCAAGCCGCGCGUGAAAUCCCUCGGCUCAACUGGGGGCGGUCGCGCGGGACUGGCUGGCUCGAGGCCGGUAGGGGGAAGCGGAAUUCCGGGUGUAGUGGUGGAAUGCGUAGAGAUCCGGAGGAACACCAGUGGCGAAGGCGGCUUCCUGGACCGGUCCUGACGCUCAGGGGCGAAAGCGUGGGUAGCGAUCCGG
Molecule: ribosomal RNA, 253 nt
Filed under: uncultured bacterium
Lineage: Bacteria
Description: partial 16S ribosomal RNA
Rfam family: Bacterial small subunit ribosomal RNA
Source: RNAcentral